Molecule: non-coding RNA, 83 nt
Organism: Jatropha curcas
Lineage: Eukaryota; Viridiplantae; Streptophyta; Magnoliopsida; Malpighiales; Euphorbiaceae
Source: Rfam
GUUCCCAGUGAUGCUUCUUGAUGAUCCAUGCUAAUGCUGAUGCUAGCAUGACUGAAACUCUUCUCUAUUUGCCUGAGGGAACU